This 253-nucleotide ribosomal RNA is filed under the name uncultured bacterium. RNAcentral's name for it is "partial 16S ribosomal RNA". It matches the Rfam family "Bacterial small subunit ribosomal RNA", at positions 524 to 776 of the family's 1533-position model. The record is from RNAcentral.
UACGUAGGAUGCAAGCGUUGUCCGGAUUUUUUGGUUUAAAAGGGUGCGUAGGCGGCCUAUUAAGUUAGUGGUGAAAACGUUCGGCUUAACCGGAUACCCGCCAUUGAUACUGAUAGACUUGAGUGCGACAGAGGGUGUUGGAAUGUGUGGUGUAGCGGUGAAAUGCUUAGAUAUCACGCAGAACACCAAUUGCGAAGGCAGAUGCCUAUGUCGUAACUGACGCUGAGGCACGAAAGCGUGGGGAGCAAACAGG